Molecule: ribosomal RNA, 445 nt
Filed under: uncultured bacterium
Lineage: Bacteria
Description: bacterial SSU rRNA
Rfam family: Bacterial small subunit ribosomal RNA
Source: RNAcentral
CCAGACUCCUACGGGAGGCAGCAGUCGGGAAUAUUGCGCAAUGGAGGAAACUCUGACGCAGUGACGCCGCGUAUAGGAAGAAGGUCUUCGGAUUGUAAACUAUUGUCGUUAGGGAAGAGAAAGGACAGUACCUGGGGAGGAAGCUCCGGCUAACUACGUGCCAGCAGCCGCGGUAAUACGUAGGGAGCGAGCGUUGUCCGGAAUUACUGGGUGUAAAGGGAGCGUAGGCGGGACUGCAAGUUGGGUGUCAAAUCUACCGGCUCAACCGGUAGCCGCACUCAAAACUGCAGUUCUUGAGUGAAGUAGAGGCAGGCGGAAUUCCUAGUGUAGCGGUGAAAUGCGUAGAUAUUAGGAGGAACACCAGUGGCGAAGGCGGCCUGCUGGGCUUUUACUGACGCUGAGGCUCGAAAGUGUGGGGAGCAAACAGGAUUAGAUACCCUGGUAC